AGCAGCCGCGGUAAUUCCAGCUCCAAUAGCGUAUAUUAAAGUUGUUGCAGUUAAAAAGCUCGUAGUUGAAUUUCGGGGUUAGUAGGUUGGUCAUGCCUCUGGUAUGUACUGGUCUCACUGAUUCCUCCUUCCUGAUGAACCUUAAUGCCAUUAAUUUGGUGUUUUGGGGAAUUUGGACUGUUACUUUGAAAAAAUUAGAGUGUUUAAAGCAAGCUAACGCUUGAAUACAUUAGCAUGGAAUAAUGAAAUAGGACGUUCGAUCCUAUUUUGUUGGUUUCUAGGAUUGACGUAAUGAUUAAUAGGGAUAGUUGGGGGCAUUAGUAUUCAAUUGUCAGAGGUGAAAUUCUUGGAUUUAUUGAAGACUAACUACUGCGAAAGCAUUUGCCAAGGAUGUUUUCAUUAAUCAAGAACGAAAGUUAGGGGAUCGAAGACGAUCAGAUACCGUCGUAGUCUUAACCAUAAACUAUGCCGACUAGAGAUCGGAUGAUGUUAAUUUUUAAUGACUCAUUCGGCGCCUUAC
RNAcentral lists this ribosomal RNA (520 nucleotides) under uncultured Glomus. RNAcentral describes it as "SSU rRNA". It matches the Rfam family "Eukaryotic small subunit ribosomal RNA", at positions 569 to 1091 of the family's 1831-position model. The record is from RNAcentral. Lineage: Eukaryota; Fungi; Glomeromycota; Glomeromycetes; Glomerales; Glomeraceae.